CACGUAGGGCGCAAGCGUUGUCCGGAAUUAUUGGGCGUAAAGAGCUCGUAGGCGGUCUGUUGCGUCCGCUGUGAAAACUCGGGGCUUAACCCCGAGCCUGCAGUGGAUACGGGCAGACUAGAGGUAGGUAGGGGAGAAUGGAAUUCCCGGUGUAGCGGUGAAAUGCGCAGAUAUCGGGAGGAACACCGGUGGCGAAGGCGGUUCUCUGGGCCUUACCUGACGCUGAGGCGCGAAGGCAUGGGGAGCGAACGGG
This 253-nucleotide ribosomal RNA is filed under the name uncultured bacterium. RNAcentral describes it as "partial 16S ribosomal RNA". It matches the Rfam family "Bacterial small subunit ribosomal RNA", at positions 524 to 776 of the family's 1533-position model. The record is from RNAcentral.